GCCCGCCUAGCUCAAUCGGAUAGAGCGUCAGACUCUUACAUAUGUAUCUCUGAAACAGGCGGGAUCUGAAGGCUGCGAGUUCGACCCUCGCGGUGGGCU
Non-coding RNA from Mycena albidolilacea, 99 nucleotides. The record is from the annotation of a GenBank genome assembly. NCBI's taxonomy places the organism in Eukaryota, Fungi, Basidiomycota, Agaricomycetes, Agaricales, Mycenaceae.